GCCAGGGCCACCGCUGCCAGUGGCAGCAGGUCACGGCGAAAACCAAAGUAGUCCCUCAUGAAUGCUGCGACGGAUUUGGUCUCUCCAAAUACAUCGAUCAUCCUGUCGUCGUGAUCUCCGAACUGCGUGGUGAAGAAGACAUUGAGCGUCCAUGACAUUGGGGAGAUGUAGUAGAGCCAUAUCCACCAUUUUGGCGCAGGCACGAUGAACCCAGACAUGAGGUUCUGUAGGGUGUAAAACAUGGAUGCAAGUAUGGAAGCGAUUUGGAUGUUGGGGGUGAGCGACACAAUCAUCAUUCCCAGGUAGAGGAAGUAGAACAGCGUGCACAACAUGGUGUACAUGAACCAAAAGAACUUUGCUGCUGUCCACUCGUACCCUAUCAUCGGAUAUGCUAUCAACAUGAAGAUCACUACCUGCACCAGCACAUAAGAUAGUAAUCUUCAUGUGAUUAAUAGGACCUGCGCAAAGGAGUAGGCCCAAGGAGAGUACAUCCCUGCGAACCUCUCCCUGUACACGACGGAGCGUUCAACGGAGACAAAAGGCAUCACUGAUUGGCAGUUGUUGAUGCCACUGAACAGAGUAGUUCCAUACAUGCACCCCAAUAUGGUGAUGAGACCUUGCUGGUCGUUUCUACCCUCAAACAAAACAAGCAACUUCAAUCAUAUGCUUCCAUCAUACAUGCAUCAGCCACUGUUAUGAAUACCAUCCGCACCAGGUUGUAAGAAGGAGUUCUCCAAUAUGACAAACACUGCUUCCAGAGGCAAGCUUUGAAUUGCUCCCGAAACUUCUGCGGAAACUGGGUUGGGAAAUGGAGGUCACUUGUACCAGGAACUGCUUUGGCGGCCGCUUAGCCGUCCCAGGGAGAGAGACGCCAUCACCUCCAUCAUCACUCAGCUUCGCGCGAUGGCUCUCCGGUUGGCUCCACCGCUUCCCCCGCCACCUUCGAAACCAGAUUAGAUCGCUGCCUUCGUGCUUCGCCGCCGCUGCCUUGGGACAUUUCGUAGUGAGUUUGCGCUGGGCUUGUUAUGCUGUGCCCACAGCUGAACUUGGAUCUGUGUGUGUUGGACCCUACCUGCGGCGGCUUUGUGUCGGUGUGUGUUGUGUUCCGUUGUUACCUUGGUACUUGUUGCUUGGUGGUUGCUUUAUUUAUAAAGCGGGGCGAAAGCCUUUUUCGGUAAUAUCACUGUUACCUUCUCAAAAACUUUAGUCUGAGGCAGGCUCUGUAUUGGACUUAAUUUGGGGUUCUUUAAGUAGUCUGUUAGUAUGGCUUGAUAACUUUCAGUUCCUGCCGAUAAAGUGUUAAGGGGUCUAUCUGAGGUAGCAACCAAUUUUGUUCCAUGUCUAAUAGUUAACUUAUUCCAUAGUUACUUCCAAUUAUUUCAGUAUAAGGUGAACAAAUGCUUCACAGUUCCA
This is a non-coding RNA of Triticum urartu, 1413 nucleotides long. NCBI's taxonomy places the organism in Eukaryota, Viridiplantae, Streptophyta, Magnoliopsida, Poales, Poaceae. The record is from RefSeq and is a predicted model, not a curated record.